RNAcentral lists this long non-coding RNA (7444 nucleotides) under Sus scrofa (pig). Its description in RNAcentral is "lncRNA (ENSSSCG00030046843.1)". The record is from RNAcentral. Lineage: Eukaryota; Metazoa; Chordata; Mammalia; Artiodactyla; Suidae.
GGGGGACCUCGGAGGAGCCUUAAUCGCCAAGUGUAGAGUGUGGAUCCCGCUGCAUUUGGGGAGGGGAUGACUAAGUACUCUGGAGUGUGGAGUAGGCCUGGCGCCCAUCCUCCCUGUGGGCCACUCACUUACCCUUCAGAGUUCCCUGGAGGACCCUCCAUCUCUGGACGUCCCUUAGGUCUCCUCUUGGAGAAUUAUCAGGCCAUCUCUGUCGCUACUGUUGGCUGUUGAUGAUAUUCCAGAGUGAGUAGGGCAACGUCAUGAAUUAUUGCAUAACAUGACCCAGUCACUGUGAGGUUCACCUACCACCAUUAGGAGCAGCUGAAUUCAACGUUCAAGGAGUUGACCUAGAUAAUCUGCACAUCCUUGUUUGGACAGCUGUAAAAUUCACUGAGCAGAUGGCCUCCUGCCAAGGAGCAAGCUUAGAGCCUCAGAAUGAAUAAUCAUGAAGCUUGAUGCCCUUUCCAGACAAGAUCUGAGGCUAGUUAUCCUGCCCCGACAAUGACAACGACAAAAGGAAUCAGUGUUCUGCAGAUGAGGGAGGGAACUGAAAUCAGGGGCGGGGUGGGGGGGGGGAGUAAGAGGCUGCUUUGGCCUGAGUCAUGAAAGUGGAGGAGGGGGGCAGGAGGAGGAUUUCCACAUACAAAGAAAAGAAUAGAUGGGGCAAUCCUGAAAAGGUGGCUUAGAGUUGCUUGAAUUCAUUGCUGGGACCAGUCCUGGGAGGCUGCUCUGAGUUACUUUGGUGUUGGUUUUCUCUGGCCUUCCCUAAGUGUCUACAACCUCAACUGCCUUGCCAAAAUUCCAAGUGCAAACCUUGGGUCCUUGACACAGUGCCCAGCCCAGUACUAUCUGAUCCCAGAGUCAAACACGAUUCUCCUGCAUCUCUGCCCUGAUGUGUCUCCAGGAGCAAAUCUAAUAGCGAGGAACUCAUUUUCCUGUAGGGGCGAAAGGAGUAAACCUUGGAAGCUCCUGGAGGGGGCUGCAACUGGUCUAGGCCUGGGAAAACUGGAUGAGCAAGAUUUCCAGACUGAGAAGACAGGAAACAAAGGAAAAGACAGGUGCAAAGGCCUAAGAAGCAGAGCUGGGCACUGAGGGAUGGACACAGACAUAGAAGGAAAGAUUAAGAGCAAGGAUUUCAGUACUUGAGCUGGGGCUUGAGAAAUGGGCGGGUUCCAGUUGCCGGCCUGACGGGAGUGGAUAGUCUUCCCGUCCAUCACUGCAGACCCACCAAUGACGAUGUGCGGAGGCGGGGCCACAGAAAGGGCGGCUAAGAGGGCCCUGGCGCGUGACCAAACGCCUGUGGAUCUGGAUUGGACUGUGCGGGCAUCCGUGGGCUUCCGUGAACCGUUAACUUCGGCGAGCAGAGAACAUGGCGGCUCCCUUUCCCGAGAGCUCAAAACUGACCUGGGAUGGAAAAGGAUAGUACUGCUCAGCCUAUGGGCCUGUAAUGAGAAGAGAGUGGACCCAGAACCAACUUCUAGACCUGCCAAACAAGAUGAAGCAGGAUGGACUGGACGGGAUUGCGAAAAACAAACUCCAAGGAUCCAGAUUGUGGCAGUGCUGCUAUUUUUCAGAGCCAGCGCAUGUCCUUUGGGGAUUACCUGGCAGCUCUUUGGAAACCAGUCUCUUUAAUCCUGCUAUGAUGCCAAGAGGUAGCCCGGCAAUUCAGACCUUGCUUUGCUCGGAGCCGCUUUCUUUUCUGGCCAGCACUGAUGCCUUACAUCGAAGCUGAUGUGACUCAGCACCAAGUUUGGGCACCAAGACGGUGUUUGUUAACUGGCAGCGCCAAAGAAGUCUCCUUUCCUUCCUCUAUAUAAAGAGACUUUGUUUCUGCGCAGUGGUUACUUUGUUGAAAAUUAAGAGUUUUGACAGUUGGGGUGGGGGAAGAGAGUGCUAAAUGCAUGAACUUUACCAAGGUGUGUUUAAGAACACUUCGAACCUUUAGUUUCAUAAAUACCUCUGCUUCCUCUGUUGCUUUAUUAGCAUGGGUUUUAUCCAGAAGGUGGCAUCACAGAACCUAAAUUUCACUCACCAAAGGGUAAGAGAAAUUUACAUCUCUUUGUGAUUAGAAAUUAAGGAUGUAACCUUUAGAUAGCAUGUUGACAUUUCAGAGACUUUUUAUUCAUUCCUGUAAUUGGUUAAAUUACUUUAAAGCUGUGGAAGAUGAGGUCAUGAUGGUUUUCUACCCAGUGGAAACCCGAGGCCUGAGGUAUUUAGAAAAACCCAAACCCAUGUUCCUUCACCAAGUGAUGUGAGCAAGACUGGUUUAUUUACUAAUCAGAAACAGUUGUGAAACUGAACAGUUACUGUGAUGCCUUCUUCCCCUUCCACAUGCACUUGUGCCCACUGCCCAUCAAGGUACUCUUGGGUGCCUUCAUUGGAAGGAGGGAUCGGGAAGGCCUAAAUGGAUGGUUUAAUGGGUAAAUCUGCUGAGUAUUGGCACUUAAAAAUGAGUCGCAAGGUUGAGGACUCUCAAACGGUGAUCCUCUAAUGGGUGACCUUCUCACAAUCAGGACUCUCAGGAAAACAGAAGAUGAUCCUCCUCGGAAUCUGAGCUAGGAUCUGGUUUGCUGCUUCUUUCCCAGGCGUUCAGUGCUAGGCCAGGCAUGUCACUUAGCCUCAUGAGGCAUGUACUCAGUGAAUGUCUGCUCACUGGUAGGAAUAUGAAUGCUUUAUAAAUUCUUGGUUUAAAGUAUUCCUUUGGGUAUAUACCCCAGGCGAGAUUGCUAGAUCAGAUGGUAGGUCUAUUUUUAGUUUUGGGGAGGGACCUUCAUACUGUUUUUGACAGUGGCUGUACCAGUUUCCAUGGGAGAAUACAUCCUGAACUAAAUGAGUUUCAUGACUGCUUUUCCGGCCGCCUUUGAUUGUCUGUUCUUUUCAGGAGAAGAGCUAUAGAAAUUAGGGGCUGAGACCGGGAAGAGCUUCCCUGAUCAGGAAAGAUGCAACGACCGGGCCUUCCCUGGGCUGCCUAAAGCCCAAAGAUGGGGCUGGGGCUGGGGCUGGGGCUGGGGCUGGGAAGGGUAGCCCUCUGGAGCAAGGCUGUCAGAGCAGGGGGAGAAAGCAGACUGCUGGAGGGCCUGGGCCCUCCGUGUGAAAGGGGUCUUGGACUGUGUGACUGCAGGCCAGGCCCCUGCCCGCUUCCCAACCCCUAGUCCUGCCUGGGGUGGGCGGAGCACGGGGCCCAUCAUCGGGGGUGACCUGAGAAUCGGCCUUCUGGGAAAGGGGAGGCUGUUACCAUGGAGGCGUUUCCCCAUCUUCCAGGAGUCCCAGGCAUUUGGGGCUUUGCUGCUGGGGAAGGUCUUGGUGUUUCUGCCUCGUGCUGUGUGGUGCCUUGGCCUGUGACAAGUGGCUCAGGAAAGGGGGCUCUUCACCCACCGGUCUUGUGGCCUAGACCAGGACUCUGGGGCCGUCUCAUGGGAGGCCCAUGCUGACGUUGGUUCUUUCUUGUGAAUAGUCAGGCCUGGUUGCGUGGACGGCUCCACUCUGUGAGCCGAAUUGCACAGAGAGCCUGGCGAAGGUGCGUCGCUGUGCGGGGGUGCUCUUCUGGGUCCCUGUCCAGACGCCCCUUUCCACUCCGUGGCUCAGAUACCCUGCCAGGGGCCUGCAGGAGGCACAUAGGGGCGAUGGAGCAUCUGGGCUGUGGGAGAUGUUGGGUCUAGGGCAGAAGCAGAGCGUGGCCUGUGGUCAGGACUCCUUGGUGACAGGAAGGAGCUGAGCAGAAGAGUGUCCACUGUGCAUAGCAGUGGCUGGUGGGGAUCCUGAGGAACCACACCUGCGCGUGUGGGGAUGUGGCUGGAGCUUCAUCAGAGCAUUUCCAUGUCGCGCUCCGCCCUCUCCUGCUGACUCCUCUGCAUGUUAGUUGGAAGCAAGAGGUCACAUGGGUGCUGUCCGUGUGCAGGAGCUGAAGUGGGGACGUGUGGGAAGCCCCCCUGUUCUGCUUGCCGAAGAGGGCCUAUGCCCCCCGGCUGUCGCUGUUCCUUCUGUGUGUAUCUGCUGGGAGGCCUUGAUGCCUGCUGGUCUAGCCCCUGGGCCGUUUUGGUCUUGCUGUCGGGGGAGAUGAGGUUGCAUCAAGGGGCCUUUGUCUGCCCUCCCAAGACAGUGGGGGGUUUGUGUGGCAUGUGUGGGACUGUGUGUGGUCCUGCGCCCUUGGGGGUGGCGGGAGGAUCCAGGAGAUGAGUCUGGGGCAGGGAGGCUGCUCUGGUUUUCUUAUCUCAAGCUUCUGAUUAGCUUCGAUUCCUGAAACACGGAGCCACAGCCUAGGGAGAAAUAAAGUGGUAAUGAGAAUAUAAGGGGGGGCUGCCGGUGGGCAGGACCCAAGGCUUUGGGUGUGCAAGGUGAGGGGGCAUUGUGGCUUCAGGGCUGUUUCUCCUGUCCCCUUUCUUUCUUUCUUUUUUUUUUUUUGUCUUUUGUCUUUUUGUUGUUGUUGUUGUUUUUGCUAUUUCUUGGGCCGCUCCCGCGGCAUAUGGAGGUUCCCAGGCUAGGGGUUGAAUUGGAGCUGUAGCCACCGGCCUACGCCAGAGCCACAGCAACGCGUGAUCCCAGCCGCGUCUGCAACCUACACCACAGCUCACGGCAACGCCGGAUCGUCAACCCACUGAGCAAGGGCAGGGACCGAACCCGCACCCUCAUGGUUCCUAGUCAGAUUCGUUAACCACUGUGCCACGACGGGAACUCCUCCUGUCCCCUUUCUUCAUUCUCCCACACACCUUUGGGUCAGUAUAUUUGGGGGACAGAAGAUAACCAUGGGCACUGAUGAAUAUGCUAUGAAAAAAUGUGGCUCUCUUGUAAAUUUGAGACAUUUCUUACGGAACAGGGUUAUUCUCCAUUUUCCAAGUGAAUCGUGCUCUGUCUGCAGAGGAUGACUUUGCUGUCUCAUCCUUAUUCUGUAUUGCCGCAGGCCUGUGAAGGAUGGCCACUGUGACAGGGGAGCCCUUCAUCCUGCUAGACUUUUGCACAGUCUAUAAUCUGAGGGAGUUCUGAGAAGGAACUGCUGUUGCUUAUGCUGUUUUUCUCCGGACAUAUUUCCCUCCCUUUUCCUGUAGCUUUAUGGACUCUUAGGCGCUGCUUUAUGGUGUCCAUUUCCUCCUGUUCUUUGCGAGGGUCUAGGUGAGUUUCUGAUUUCAGCUCCUCAAGUUGUUCCCCCUUUACCUAGUUCUCACUUAUUGCCAGGAGUUUGGGUGCCUGGUCCUUAAAGGGACAUUCUGGGUUGUCACAUUACCAAAAAGCUUACUUAGCUUCAAGAAAAAGAUUUGCAUACAUUGCAAAGAGGCAGAGAAAGAGCUGAUAAGUUUUCCAAGGUGAAUGUUUUAAGGGAAGAGAGAGGCCGUUUCCCUUUUUUCAACAGGGAUUCUUUAACUUUUCUUAUUUUUUUGCCCUUACAACAUGCUCCCAUGAGACACCUGGUCUCCUGGGUAUUGGCACCCUGCUCCCAGUUGCUGAUUCCGGAGCUCUGCCAAAGUCAGGCCUGUGCAGAGGCUUUCCUCAGGAGGAGCUCGUGCCAAAAGCACCUGAAGGACAAGUGAUCAGUAUGCGUGACUGCUCAUCCUCUGGGCUGCUUUUACCCGUGCCUCUGUCCUCAGGGGGAGUUCUCUGGGAUCUCUAGGAUCAAUUGGAAUGAGGAUUAAAACUACAGACCUUGUUUUGAGAGGGUGUAAACUGAUACCCUGAUGUCACUGGUGUGUUGGCAGGUGGAGCUGGGCUUUCCCUCUCCUAUCCUCCCUUUCUUGAGUCUCCAGAGGAGCACCUGGCAGAGAUGUCAUCUCUGUGUCUUGGGAUACAUGGGACCUGAUAGAAUAUGUGGUAGGAGGCGAGGACUCAGAUCCCACGUUGUGAAUGUUUAGUGUGCAGCCCUGUCAAACAGGGUGGAAAGAGUGUGCAAAAUGUGUGCCCUCCUAUGUAGCUUGAAUGAUCUCUGAUCCCUCUGGAUUUGAAUUUGCCCUCGCAGCCCUUCAGCUGACACAAUAAAGGGAUUACUGAGUGUCGCCAGUCAGGCCCCUUCACAGUCUAGAUUUGGGUUGGCCUUCUCAGCUUCCCUUCCCGCUUCUUACUCAUGUGCAGGCCUACUGUACUGCUUCAUAUCAAGUUUGGAUAAGAACAGCAGUGGGCUCUGUUGAAUGAAUCCUAAGGAGAUGCUCUGAUUUGCUCAGUCUGCCCCAGCAGUCAGACAUAGCAGCCUUCCUGAAUGCUGAAAGGCCUGUCGCAGACUCGACUCUAGUGAUUAUAGGUUGUACAGUCAGGGUACUGAGCUACGGGAUGUAGGAUGUAGUUAAAGCUGGGAACCAAGACGUGCGCGUCUCCUCCUGAGCCCAGAGUUUGAAGUAUUGUGUAUAGAAAAAUGUGCUGAGAGUAAAUCUUAUUCUACCUUCUGUCAAAAAAUAAUAAUAUGAAUUAGCGAGGGUGGAAUGAAACUUAACAGGGGUUGGAUAUGUUUAAGGCAUAGAUUAUGAUGAUGGUUCGUGGAGGUAUACUUAUCUCCAGACUCAUUAAGUUGUAUGUAUUAAGUAUGUGCAGCUUUCUGUAUGUCAGUCAUACCUUCAUAACCUCAAUAAAGUGGUUUAAAAAUAAUAACAAAAAAGACCCUCUCGUGGUUACAGAUGUAUACUCCCCCUCAAGUGUCUUGAGGUUUUAGAACUGAAAGGGAAGAAUGCUUCUACACUGGGAAAUGGGUAAUGCUAUUUACUACUCUGUAUUAUUGUUUUGCCUUGGUUUUUCUAUGUAUGCAUAGCAUUUGCAUUGGCACAUAUAAGGUUAACCUUUAGUCCAUAGGAUUUUCAAUUUUGUAGAAUCACAGCACUUCUGCGAAAGCUGUGAACUUCACCUGGAGGACUUCAGCUCAAGGAGUGGCCUGUGACAUCAGCUAUUUGUCAUUUGACCAGAAAUUGACUUUGGGUCCUGUGCCUUUGGGAAUGGCUUGGACUUUGGGUUGGUUUUGUUUCUUAUAAUAUGUGCUUUUGUGCUUACCUGAGAAAUCUUUUAAAAUAUUUUACACAUGGGGACAUGUCCAGGUGUAAAAUAUUUUACAUAUGGGGACACGUCAAGGUGUAUAUGUACUGUAUCUGUAUCCUAUAGGGUGGAAGGUAGUGUCUCAGGCUGGUUGGUCUCUGCAGCAGGCCUCUUUUCUCUGAGGUCUUCCCACCACCUUCUGUUUUCUGUGUGACUGAGUUCCUUGGCCUUAGCUACUCAGUUUGAUACUUUUCAUCUUGUCCUAGUUGAGCAAACCAUGCUUCUGUUAUAUUUAGAGUUUGGGACUAGAUGCCAAGAAUGGGUGCUAGGCUAGCCUGCAAAGGCUCAUUAAUAACCUUUCACUGCAGAAAAUAUCAUGUAAAAGACAUAUUGUGGGGUUUCCCUGGGUUAUCCUCAUUUCUGUGUCUUUAGAAUGUAUUUGCUGCUUAAGCUUCUUGUAUUUUGUAAAAUACUUGUGUUCUUCCAAUAAAAUUUGAUUCAG